Molecule: transfer RNA, 70 nt
Filed under: Loxodonta africana (African savanna elephant)
Lineage: Eukaryota; Metazoa; Chordata; Mammalia; Proboscidea; Elephantidae
Rfam family: tRNA
About the family: Transfer RNA (tRNA) molecules are approximately 80 nucleotides in length. Their secondary structure includes four short double-helical elements and three loops (D, anti-codon, and T loops). Further hydrogen bonds mediate the characteristic L-shaped molecular structure. tRNAs have two regions of fundamental functional importance: the anti-codon, which is responsible for specific mRNA codon recognition, and the 3' end, to which the tRNAs corresponding amino acid is attached (by aminoacyl-tRNA synthetases). tRNAs cope with the degeneracy of the genetic code in two manners: having more than one tRNA (with a specific anti-codon) for a particular amino acid; and 'wobble' base-pairing, i.e. permitting non-standard base-pairing at the 3rd anti-codon position.
Source: Rfam by way of RNAcentral
GCAGUGAUGGUUCAAUGGUAGAAUUCUUGCCUUCCAUGUUGGAGGCCUGGGUCAAGUCCUGGCCACUGCA